GUGGGGAAUCUUAGACAAUGGAUGCAAGUCUGACCCAGCCAUCCCGCGUGCCGGAAGAAGGCCCUCAGGGUUGUAAACGGCUUUUGACGGUGAAGAAUCGACAGGAUGCGUCCUGUUUUGACGGUAGCCGUUGAAUAAGCACCGGCUAACUCCGUGCCAGCAGCCGCGGUAAUACGGAGGGUGCGAGCGUUGUCCGGAUUUUUUGGGUUUAAAGGGUGCGUAGGCUGGUAGGUCAGUCAGCGGUGAAAAGCUGUCGCUUAACGAUAGUCUUGCCGCAGAUACUUCCUUUCUUGGAUGGGGAGGAGGCCACUGGAACGGAUGGUGUAGCGGUGAAAUGCAUAGAUAUCAUCCAGAACACCGAUUGCGAAGGCAGGUGGCUGUACCUUAAUCGACGCUGAUGCACGAAAGCAUGGGGAGCAAACAGGAUUAGAUACCCUGGUAGUCC
RNAcentral lists this ribosomal RNA (445 nucleotides) under uncultured bacterium. RNAcentral's name for it is "partial 16S ribosomal RNA". It matches the Rfam family "Bacterial small subunit ribosomal RNA", at positions 354 to 796 of the family's 1533-position model. The record is from RNAcentral.